AUUCCAGCUCCAAUAGCGUAUAUUAAAGUUGUUGCAGUUAAAACGCUCGUAGUCGGAUUUCGGGGCGGGCCGACCGGUCUGCCGAUGGGUAUGCACUGGCCGGCGCGUCCUUCCACCCGGAGACCGCGCCUACUCUUAACUGAGCGGGCGCGGGAGACGGGUCUUUUACUUUGAAAAAAUCAGAGUGUUUCAAGCAGGCAGUCGCUCUUGCAUGGAUUAGCAUGGGAUAAUGAAAUAGGACUCUGGUGCUAUUUUGUUGGUUUCAGAAUUUUAGGUAAUGAUUAAUAGGGACAAUUGGGGGCAUUCGUAUUGUCACGUCAGAGGUGAAAUUCUUAGAUUGUGAUACGACGAACUAAUGCGAAAGCAUUUGUCAAGGAUGUUUUCAUUA
This 388-nucleotide ribosomal RNA is filed under the name Gephyrocapsa cf. oceanica. Its description in RNAcentral is "partial small subunit ribosomal RNA". It matches the Rfam family "Eukaryotic small subunit ribosomal RNA", at positions 582 to 975 of the family's 1831-position model. Lineage: Eukaryota; Haptophyta; Isochrysidales; Noelaerhabdaceae. The record is from RNAcentral.